Molecule: transfer RNA, 72 nt
Filed under: Streptomyces hoynatensis
Lineage: Bacteria; Bacillati; Actinomycetota; Actinomycetes; Kitasatosporales; Streptomycetaceae
Rfam family: tRNA
About the family: Transfer RNA (tRNA) molecules are approximately 80 nucleotides in length. Their secondary structure includes four short double-helical elements and three loops (D, anti-codon, and T loops). Further hydrogen bonds mediate the characteristic L-shaped molecular structure. tRNAs have two regions of fundamental functional importance: the anti-codon, which is responsible for specific mRNA codon recognition, and the 3' end, to which the tRNAs corresponding amino acid is attached (by aminoacyl-tRNA synthetases). tRNAs cope with the degeneracy of the genetic code in two manners: having more than one tRNA (with a specific anti-codon) for a particular amino acid; and 'wobble' base-pairing, i.e. permitting non-standard base-pairing at the 3rd anti-codon position.
Source: Rfam by way of RNAcentral
GCCGCCUUAGCUCAGUGGUAGAGCCAUGCUCUUGUAAAGCAUAGGUCGUCGGUUCGAAUCCGACAGGCGGCU